Molecule: long non-coding RNA, 245 nt
Filed under: Lathyrus oleraceus (garden pea)
Lineage: Eukaryota; Viridiplantae; Streptophyta; Magnoliopsida; Fabales; Fabaceae
Description: Pisum sativum (pea) long non-coding RNA (PSAT_LNC038454)
Source: RNAcentral
UCAACUUCACGUUCUGGCGGCAAUUCAUUCACUUCUUCCGGAAACACAUCAGGAAAAUCACACACUACAGCUAGAUCGCCAAUUACCAGUUUAUCUUUAGCUUCCAAAGUCGCUAACAGCAUAAACAACUCUGCCCCAUCUGCCACUUCCUCAUUCACCUGCCUGGCUGAUAGAAACAAACUCUUUCCUUCUUCAAUCUCAGGAAAUAUCACAGUCUUAUCAAAACAGUUGAUAGAAACUCGGUU